GAUUAACGCUGGCGGCGUGCAUAACACAUGCAAGUCGAACGAUGAAACUUAAAUGAUUUCUUCGGAAUGAACUUAAGUGGAUUAGUGGCGGACGGGUGAGUAACGCGUGAGUAACCUGCCUUACACAAGGGGAUAGCCGUUGGAAACGACGAAUAAUACCCUAUGAUGUUUCUAUCUCGCAUGAGAUAUUAACCAAAGUGUUAGCGGUGUAAGAUGGACUUGCGUCUGAUUAGCUAGUUGGUGAGAAAAAAGCCCACCAAGGCAACGAUCAGUAGCCGGCUUGAGAGAGUGUACGGCCACAUUGGGACUGAGACACGGCCCAGACUCCUACGGGAGGCAGCAGUGGGGAAUUUUGCACAACGGGGGAAACCCUGAUGCAGCGACGCCGCGUGAUUUAGAAGGCCUUCGGGUUGUAAAAAUCUUUUGUAUAGGAAGAAAAUGACAGUACUAUACGAAUAAGGUCCGGCUAAUUACGUG
RNAcentral lists this ribosomal RNA (477 nucleotides) under uncultured bacterium. RNAcentral describes it as "partial 16S ribosomal RNA". It matches the Rfam family "Bacterial small subunit ribosomal RNA", at positions 28 to 507 of the family's 1533-position model. The record is from RNAcentral.